GUGUCAGCAGCCGCGGUAAUACGAAGGGGGCUAGCGUUGUUCGGAAUUACUGGGCGUAAAGGGCGCGUAGGCGGCUGUCCAAGUCAGAUGUGAAAGCCCCGGGCUUAACCUGGGAAUUGCAUUUGAGACUGGGCGGCUUGAGUUUCGGAGAGGUGGGUGGAAUUCCCAGUGUAGAGGUGAAAUUCGUAGAUAUUGGGAAGAACACCGGUGGCGAAGGCGACUUCCUGGCCUGUUCUUGACGCUGAGGCGCGAAAGCUAGGGUAGCAAACGGGAUUAGAAACCCCAGUAGUCC
This 292-nucleotide ribosomal RNA is filed under the name uncultured bacterium. Its description in RNAcentral is "partial 16S ribosomal RNA". It matches the Rfam family "Bacterial small subunit ribosomal RNA", at positions 505 to 796 of the family's 1533-position model. The record is from RNAcentral.